UCUCAACACAGUACGGGUUUCUCUUUACAAAACCCUAAUCAUCCCCUACCGCCUGCCUCUAUCCUCUCCCUGAUCUUUCUUACCCGUCACUCUUCUCCCAUGUUAUUCUCAAUCGAUUCCAUACUUUGUACCGGUUAUUGAUUUAUUUAUUUUUCUGUAGGCACUGUUUUACUUUAUCACGAUUUUAGAUUUCACAUACCGAUCAGAGAAAUCAAAGUGGUGGUAUCAUGGGGGUUACGUGCAUUCAUAUUGGUUCACAGUCUUUUGAUUUUGUAGGUACGGAUUUUUAAAUCGUACCAAAGGAAGAUUAGGGUUCGCUCCAUUUUUCUAUUUUAUAUCGUGAUCAGGUCAGGUGAAAUUUACAGUUAAAAAGCUUCGCCCUGUCAUGGACCCGAAACAUAAUAUCAGUAACAAUUGUCGCCAUUGCUUAUGUGGUAUAUGGGACAAAAAAUACAAGAAAGCAAUCUUCCUACAGUGUUUGGAGUCGGUAAAAGUACAUUUUUUUACUUCCUCAUUCUGAAAGUAAAAGGUAACACAUUGAUGUUGCAAUCAUUCAUGCUCAACUCUCCCUGUUACACGGAGAGAAACUGCUGCACCUAGGUCAACUUGGUUAGCAUUUGUACAUUUAAGGUGUGUUAUAUUGCAUAACAUAUCCGGUUAGAUGUGUUAAUGCUAACACAAUUUAAGCUCAGAAAAAUAAUAUUAUUCCAGUUUAUAUUAUUGCUCGGCCAGCUUCUGCUUCAAGUGACAAUAAGUACGAUCAAGAAAUCUUACAAGAGUGUGUUUGGAUUAAAAAAAAGAGUCCAGGUGAUGUUUUUGCGAUGCUGAAGAAGAUUUCCAAUGUGUGACAUUAUUGUGGUGGUGAAAUUGUAUGUAGUGGUGAUGAUAUUGUGAUGGUGAAAAUUGUCAAAUAAAAUUCAUCUCCAAAUGCAGUCAAACAAACAAAAAAUGCAGCCGGAGGCUACAGAAGGAGUCGGCAAAAUACGAUUGUCUAAUUGACAGAUGAGAUUGAGACAACGAGUAAAUCUUCUAGAUUGUUAUCCAAGAACACGACCGAGGCCAGUUAAUGGACACCCUGAAAGAAAUUCAACAUCACACGGAGGUUAGAGACUGCGAGAAAAAGCUUCUUGAGUUACAGAUGGUAUCACCAUUAGAUCUUGAGACUCUUCAACAAUCAAAUCAAGCAAUGGAACAACGGAAACUGUGACGUAUCCUUCCAUUUCUGAAGGUUGGUUAGACUAUUUAGUAUUUGUGCACGUUCAUUAUGGACAUGAAACCUUUAGCAAAAAGUCACUGACUCAUGGGUACGUGAGUAGUGAGCACCAGUAAAGAUGGAGUUCAUAGGACGUAAAACAACACUACUACAGAUCGUUGUUCUUAUAUACUUCUUUCCAAUACGGUUGAGUCUCAAGUGAAAUGGACCAUGUUCAAUCUGGAAAUGCAUCUAUCCAGUCUAGAUCAUUCUUAUUCCAUAGUUCCAGUUGUAAUCAAUCUUUAGAUCAAUAAGAAUUGUUCACAAGUUUCACUUUAUUUCAUAGACGUGUAAUAUAAUAUUAUGGAACAUUCCAGGUUUAUACAGUGGUUUAUUUUCCCA
Molecule: long non-coding RNA, 1594 nt
Organism: Papaver somniferum (opium poppy)
Lineage: Eukaryota; Viridiplantae; Streptophyta; Magnoliopsida; Ranunculales; Papaveraceae
Exons: 7
Source: RefSeq, a predicted model, not a curated record